CGGGGGGGGGCAAGCGUUGUUCGGAAUUACUGGGCGUAAAGGGCUCGUAGGCGGCCAACUAAGUCGGAUGUGAAAUCCCCAGGCUCAACUUGGGAACUGCAUCCGAUACUGGAUGGCUUGAAUCCGGGAGAGGGAUGCAGAGUUCCAGGUGUAGCGGUGAAAUGCGUAGAUAUCUGGAGGAAUACCGGUGGCGAAGGCGGCAUCCUGGACCGGCAUUGACGCUGAUGAGCGAAAGCUAGGGGAGCAAACGGGAUUAGAUACCCCGGUAGUCCUAGCCCUAAACGAUGAAUGCUUGGUGUGGCGGGUAUCGAUCCCUGCCGUGCCGAAGCUAACGCAUUAAGCAUUCCGCCUGGGGAGUACGGUCGCAAGGCUG
RNAcentral lists this ribosomal RNA (373 nucleotides) under uncultured organism. Its description in RNAcentral is "bacterial SSU rRNA". It matches the Rfam family "Bacterial small subunit ribosomal RNA", at positions 525 to 896 of the family's 1533-position model. The record is from RNAcentral.